Molecule: long non-coding RNA, 2039 nt
Filed under: Sus scrofa (pig)
Lineage: Eukaryota; Metazoa; Chordata; Mammalia; Artiodactyla; Suidae
Description: lncRNA (ENSSSCG00065012712.1)
Source: RNAcentral
CAGUAACUAGGUAUAUGUAUUCCUAUUGUAGUUAAAAACAAACAAACAAAAACUACCCAGGUUUUGAAACUCUGGAGACGUGAGUCUCUCGGCUCCUAAGGGCUGAGAAAGACUGGCAGAUUCUGCUAGAAAUUCAGAGCGCCAAAAAGUCAAAAGCAAUGACCUUAAACACAGCAACUUCCCCUGUGCCACCAAUGUAUUUUGCCGUGUGUACAAGAACCAACAUUGAUUUAGUUUAAUAAUUUGUUUACCAAUUCUGAGCGUGCUUGGUCAGAAGAGUGAACACACUUCACGGAAGAUAAAUAACGGCUGCCCGGCUGCCAAAUGGAUUCGUUCACAAAGCAGAUGAAUUCUGCAAGGUCCUUGAGAGUACUGAUGGAAAAUUCUGAUUCCUAAUUGAUCAGUGCUGGUCUUCCUCCAUCACAGCUUGUAGCACUUAGGGAGGUUGGUCACGAAGCCCAGAAAGUCACAUGAGCUGCUUCACCAAGAAGGGAAAUGUGUUUUAAAGGCACAGGCUCCUCUCUGAACCCAAAGCGUGGGGGCUGCUGAAUUUCAGAGUGGAAUGGGAUCAGGCCUAGAGUUUGUUGGGCCCUCGAGGGGUCCACUCCCAGGGAUUCUGGUUUCUUUCUCCUGCGGUUUGUCAGUCUUUCCUCCGUUGCAGAAGGGCCAUCUCCGCAUCCUACUCAACACAGGUCCAAAUGGCACCCAACAGCGCGCCAACGUUGGCCUCCGCCCCACUCAAGAUAAGACAUUAUCUACAAUAAAACGAAGACUUCCAAACCUUCAUAGAACACUUCAUCCAUGUGACUUGGAAGCGCCAAUGGCUGAUAUCAAAAGGCUGCUAUCAAAAGGCUGAUUCCAUCGAAGGUCCAGGUCUGCAUUCAGACAGCGCUGAAGUGGCUUCUUGCGCAGGAGAACUAUUUGACCAAAGCGUGGCAUAAACAGACAUGUAGUAGCCCACUUUUCACUGGAUGUAUUUUCUACAAUUUAAUGUUCUAGGCUGGAGAGUUGUUUUACACUAAUCUUAAUAUUAUAAAAUUAAUACCUGCUUAUGGUAAAAAAAAAAAAAUUCAGAGCACAGAUGGGCAUCACCUGAAAAGUAGAAGUUAUUCUCCCCUCUUAAACACAGCCUGAUCCCUGAGAAAGUUUUUCUUAUAGAACUUUUCUUUAAAUAUCAUCUCUUCAAAAAAAAAAAAAAAAUCACAGCCAGAAUGUUCCUAAGUAUCUUCUUCAACAAUUUUCCUGGGAGUUUUUGUCACGGCUCAGCAGAAACCAACCCAGCUAGUAUCCAUGAGGAUGCAGGUUCGACCUCUGGCCUUGCUCAGUGGGUUAAGGAUCCUGCGUUGCCUGGAGCUGUGGUGCAGAUUGCAGAUGUGCCUCAGCUCUGGCAUUGCUGAGGCUGAGGUGUAGGCCAGCAGCUACAGCUCAGAUUUGACUCCUAGCCUGGGAACCUCUAAUUGCCGCAGGUGUGGCCCUAAAAAAACCCCCCAAAAAACAAAAAAAAAAACAAUUUGCCUCUUAAGUUUGAAGUUGAUUUUGAAUAUCUUUACAUGAAGAUAUAUUUUGAUCAAUGAUUACACAGUAUUCCAUCAUAGGAAUCUACUAUAAUAUACUUAAACAUGAUUUUGAGAAUUUUGCAGUUGCAAAUCAUGCAUCCAUUCUUACAUUUUUGCACAUUUGUGGGAGUUUCUCUGCAGUGUAAUCUUCUGGAAAGAGAAUUUCUGAGUCAAAGGAUAUGUGCUUUAGAAAUGCUGAGAGAGGGAGUUCCCAUUGUGGCUCAGUGAUAAUGAACCCAAAUAGUAUCUAUGAGGAUUCGGGUUCGAUCCCUGACCUUGCUCAGUGGGUUGGGGAUCCAGUGUUGCCAUGGGCUGUGGUAUAGGUCACAGACGUGGCUCGGAUCUUGUGUUGCUAUGGCUGUGGUGAAGGCUGGCAGCUGCAGCUCUGAUUCGACCCCUAGCCUGGGACCUUCCAUAUGCCAUGGGUGCAGUCCUGAAAAGCAAAAAAAUAAAAAAAAAUGAUAAAAAAAAAGAAAUCCUGAG